UACGAAGGGUGCAAGCGUUACUCGGAAUUACUGGGCGUAAAGCGUGCGUAGGUGGUUUGUUAAGUCUGAUGUGAAAGCCCUGGGCUCAACCUGGGAACGGCAUUGGAAACUAUUUGACUAGAGGAAUGGAGGGGAGACUGGAAUACUUGGUGUAGCAGUGAAAUGCGUAGAUAUCAAGUGGAACACCAGUGGCGAAGGCGAGUCUCUGGACAUUUCCUGACGCUGAGGCACGAAAGCCAGGGGAGCAAACGGG
RNAcentral lists this ribosomal RNA (253 nucleotides) under uncultured bacterium. RNAcentral describes it as "partial 16S ribosomal RNA". It matches the Rfam family "Bacterial small subunit ribosomal RNA", at positions 524 to 776 of the family's 1533-position model. The record is from RNAcentral.